ACUGUUUCCAUACAAACUGAGAAAUUAUUUGUUCUAGUUGUGUGAAAAAUACCUUUGGUAGUUUGAUUGGGAUUGUGAUGAAUCUACAGAUUGCUUUGGGUAGUAGAGUCAUUUUCACUGUACUGAUUCUUCCAAUGCAAGAACAUGGUACGCUUCUCCAUCUCUUUGUGUCAUCUUUGAUUUCUUUUGUCAGUUUCUUUUUUAUAGUUUUCUGUAUACAGGUCUCUUGUUUCUUUUCGUACAAUUAUUCCUAAGUAUUUUAUUCUUUUCAUUGCAAUGGUAAAUGGAUAGUUUCCUUAAUUACUCUUUCUGAUUUUUUGUUAUUAGUUUAUAGGAAUGCAAUGGAUUUCUGUGCAUUCACUUUUUAUGGCAGGCACACUGUUUUUAAUUUUUUAAAUUUACUUAUAUUAGUUGGAGACUACUUAACAAUAUUGCAGGCACAUUCUUAACCACUUGACCACCAGGGAAUUCCUGGCCUGCUUGUCCUUGGGUGUGCAGCUCUCUGGGCUCUGACACAUGGAGAGUUUCCAGUCAGCUGGAGAGUGGUAAACAAAGUAUGCUGUAUGUAGCCAUACAGUGGAAUAGCAUAGAUGGAUGAAAAGUGAUGAACUUCUGCUUUCUGCUGCCACAUGGGUGAGCCUCCAAAGCAUUACGCUAAGUGAAACAUCCCAGACACAAAAGGCCACUUCCUGCGGGAGUCCGUUGAUAUGAAAUGCCCAGAAAGGGCAAAUCUACAGAGAGGAAAAUCAGACGAGAGGAUGCCUGGGCCUGCAGGUCCUGUUGGGGAUCCACUGCUGACGGGUACGCGGAAACUUUAGUGGCGCUGGCGGUGUUCCACACCUGCACUGUGGUGGGGGUUGCACCACUGUGUGAAGGUGCUAAAAGUCACUGCCCUGGAAGUGAUGGGUGUGAUUUGUGGUAUGUAAUUAUACCUCAGUAAAGCAGUUUAGGAAGGUAAUGCAGAUGUCCAAGUGAGACAUGUGGGGAAAGACAUGCCAUUGCUUUGUAACAACGAGGAGUGCCCCUGCUCCUUCCACGUUCUGGGUCCAGCCUCCUCCACGAGUGCUAGAUGCUCCCUCCAGAAACAGUCGUUGUGCACGUCAGGACAGAAUCCCCAGGGAGCACACACAACUACUGUGUCUCUGUGUUGACUCAAGGGGCCGGCUGUGUGACCACAAGUCAAUGGCUCUGGACAGGCUCCCAAAACCCACCCUGCAUCUGAAAUUCCACUUCGUUGUUUUCCCAUUCUUCUCAAAUCACGUGGACCCAGCUUCCGUUUCCCUGGUAACGGAUCUCAGCCCUUAGCUCCAACCUCUGGUCACAGGAAUACCUGUUGCCUGGUGUGAGGCCCCCUGCCUGAGCUCAGCAACCCAGGAGGGAUGCUCAGCAGAGCAGUAACCAAGACAACGGAACUUGAUCCAUCCUCCUUCUGCCACCAGGACUGAGGGGCAUUCCCUCCCCUCCAUCUGCCUGAUUGUCUGGGUAUGCUAUUUUCUGUUCUCUAAACCAAAGAGACCAGGAUGCCAGUUCCAAAAGAAUCAUCAGGACUGUUGACUAGAAGACAGAAUGGAGAAUUGGAAUGAUCUUCACAGGUGAUGCAGAGCCCUCCCUUGGAUUUCACUUGCAGCAAAGCAGGCACCAAGAUCAGCUCCAGAAAACGAAAUUCCUAAACGACAGCCACCCAUCUGCCCAAAGACAACAUUGGGUCAUUGCGCAGUGUGCCCCCUAGCUUCCUUAUCCAUUCAUCUGCUGAUGGGCAUCUAGGUUGCUUCCAUGUCCUGGCUA
Cervus elaphus (red deer) is the source of this 1785-nucleotide long non-coding RNA. RefSeq lists it as uncharacterized. The record is from RefSeq and is a predicted model, not a curated record. The transcript has 4 exons. NCBI's taxonomy places the organism in Eukaryota, Metazoa, Chordata, Mammalia, Artiodactyla, Cervidae.